UCACACACAGGAUAAAAUAGCAACAGCAGCAGCACAGUUGGAUCUCAAUCUCUUACGCUGGCGACUCCUGUAGUAGUAAAAAAAAAUGAAACAACUACUUCAUGUUCUUGAAAAACACGUCGAUAAGAGACAGCUAGCUACAAUUAAUUACGGAGCCACAGACACUAGGCUGUAAAAAAAAUUUGGUUGAACCUUUUUGACAACAGCCAACCACAGAACUAGGAGCAUGAAAGCGUCUUCCCCCCUCCCAGCCAAUCACGGAGCGGACAUUCACAGCACUUGAAGCGCGUAAGGAUACACAAGGUUCACCAACGCAAUGCAAAAUGUGCCCAUCCCAUCAACAAAGGUUCUCGUUCUCGGCUCCAAACCCAACCAAGAAAAUAAAUCACAUCGCCUCCAUCCAUCCCACUGUAUUGGAUAAUUUUAGUCUGGUGAUUCAAUAUUUUCUCUCUUUGUUUAAAGUUUGUUUAUACCUCCGUGGAAAAACACAAGAGGGAAACAGAAAGGUGAUGGAAGAGGAGAGUCCAAGGAGACGAGAUGGGAGCACACCAUGCGAGAAGAGAUCUGCUACGCUGAAGCCAAAUUAUCUCUACAGCCAUUCAUAACAAUAAAAUCAAAAUGAUGCUUGGCCUAUUGGAAAUGAUAAAGCUGAACAGUAAUUUUUACAGUACAUAUUUUUUAACAGUUAUGUAGUUAUGUUCAUCUCAAUAAACAUUGCAGAAAACAAUAUACAAAUAAA
Molecule: long non-coding RNA, 739 nt
Organism: Lepisosteus oculatus (spotted gar)
Lineage: Eukaryota; Metazoa; Chordata; Actinopteri; Semionotiformes; Lepisosteidae
Source: RefSeq, a predicted model, not a curated record